GGCCGCGGUGGACCUCAUCUGAGAGACUUCCUACAUAAACACCACAGUAGUUUGCCUGUUCCCGGCAGUCACUCGUUCGCAGGUGUGUCUGCGUCCUUCCGUCCACCGUCUGCGGCGCGGCACGCUCACACCGAAGUGCUGCAGUACCGAGACUGGACCCCGGGGGGUCACGGCAGGGGUCAGGAGGUCAGGGAGAGGACGGCGGAGGAGACACUGAAGUUGCGGCAGAGUUUAGUGCAGAUCUUUCCGGACCAGGAGAGCGUGAUUAUCAUGAUCCUGCAGUGUCACCCGACCGUCAGAGACGUCAGCCGACUCACAGACCUCGUCCUGGAGCAACAGGAAUAAACACCAACAUGACACGCAGCAUCUGGACAUACACAGCUGGCUUUAAAUUGUGCUCAAGACAAAACAAAAAAUAUUUCCUUACCAUUCCAAAACUGUCUUCUAAUGUGUUUUCAUUUUAAACGUAAUUUAUAUAUUCAACAAGUGUAAAUGAUGAAUAUACAAUGGCCGAGACGCGCUGCAACUUAAGAAAACACAUGCAAAUAGAAAACACAUGCUUUUAGGAGUUCUUAAUUUGAAAUGUUAACACUUGAUGUUUUGUUGAUACUAUUUAUUUUCACAUGCUCCUUUCUUGAUGUAAGGAUAAUAAACAGACGACGAGUGUUAGAGACCAAAUCAACCAAAGAAUACGUCUUAAUGAGUUUAGGUUUCAUGUUUUUCUUUCAGGGACGACGGAUGUAAAUGAGCAAUGUUGCUAUAAUCUGACAUGUUUACAUUUUGAAUUUUUAUACAGAUGUUCAUUAAUGUGCUCUGUCCCCAUUAAACAGCUACAUAAA
Long non-coding RNA from Sinocyclocheilus anshuiensis, 839 nucleotides. RefSeq lists it as uncharacterized. The record is from RefSeq and is a predicted model, not a curated record. Lineage: Eukaryota; Metazoa; Chordata; Actinopteri; Cypriniformes; Cyprinidae. The transcript is spliced from 2 exons.